This 517-nucleotide ribosomal RNA is filed under the name Trichoderma atroviride. Its description in RNAcentral is "eukaryotic LSU rRNA". The stretch from base 161 to 314 matches the Rfam family "5.8S ribosomal RNA". The record is from RNAcentral. Lineage: Eukaryota; Fungi; Ascomycota; Sordariomycetes; Hypocreales; Hypocreaceae.
UGUGAACCAUACCAAACUGUUGCCUCGGCGGGGUCACGCCCCGGGUGCGUCGCAGCCCCGGAACCAGGCGCCCGCCGGAGGGACCAACCAAACUCUUUUCUGUAGUCCCCUCGCGGACGUUAUUUCUUACAGCUCUGAGCAAAAAUUCAAAAUGAAUCAAAACUUUCAACAACGGAUCUCUUGGUUCUGGCAUCGAUGAAGAACGCAGCGAAAUGCGAUAAGUAAUGUGAAUUGCAGAAUUCAGUGAAUCAUCGAAUCUUUGAACGCACAUUGCGCCCGCCAGUAUUCUGGCGGGCAUGCCUGUCCGAGCGUCAUUUCAACCCUCGAACCCCUCCGGGGGGUCGGCGUUGGGGACCUCGGGAGCCCCUAAGACGGGAUCCCGGCCCCGAAAUACAGUGGCGGUCUCGCCGCAGCCUCUCCUGCGCAGUAGUUUGCACAACUCGCACCGGGAGCGCGGCGCGUCCACGUCCGUAAAACACCCAACUUCUGAAAUGUUGACCUCGGAUCGGGUAGGAAU